Molecule: long non-coding RNA, 635 nt
Organism: Homo sapiens (human)
Lineage: Eukaryota; Metazoa; Chordata; Mammalia; Primates; Hominidae
Exons: 3
Source: RefSeq, a predicted model, not a curated record
UCCUAAAGUGCUGGGAUUACAGGCGUGAGUCACCGCGCCCGGCCAGUCGAACUCUUUCUUCUGAGGAGGCAAGGAUUGAGAUUGCUGCAGAACAUAGGCAUUGGCCGUCAGUAAUAUACCGUGUGACUCAGAACCUCCCCCGCUUCUCCCUGCAUCAAGAGCUGGGGAGACGGCAGCGUGGGACUCGUGGGUAAUCCCCUGCAGCGGCCUGCCACUCCUCCCCCACUGCCUGGUCUGGGUGGGGCACAAGACUCAGGCCUAAGCCAAUCAGAGCCUUCCCUGGCUGCAGCAAUGGGUCUAAGGGCCCUCCCUCUGUGACCCUGGCCUUGGCCACCAGGCUUGCUUUGGCCAAUGAGAUGUGAGCAUACAGGACGCCAGUCAAAGCAUGAAAACUGCUUGCAAUAGCGCUUGUGUGUGCACCUGGACCUAUGUUGUAAGAAUGUGCCCCGUUUGGCCAUUGGAAGGACUUGGGACACCUGGGGGAGAACAGAGUCACCCCAGCUGCCAGCCAGCUCAGCCAGGACAUGUAAGUGACCCCCUCAAAAGACCAAUAGAACCACCCAGCUGACCCACUGACUCCUGGGCAGUAACUUUCAGUGACUGGGCUUAGGUGGUGUGUUACACAGCAGUGUGGC